UGGUCCAAAUGUUAACCUUCGGAGAAGGGAUAAUUAUUUUCAUAGGAGUGAUGACCUAGGGACAUCUUGUAUUUUCUGUAGAUGUAACCAGAAUAUUAUCCAAUUACCUAGUAAGUAAUUAUGUGAGUUUAUGGAAAAAAACAAAUCUUGAAUAAUUGAAUGCGGCUAACCUGGGCAAGGUCUUCACUGUUUGAAAAUAUGUUAUUCACUGUUCGAAAACGAGAGGACAGCCAGCCUCUCUUUGUUGUCUCGCCAAGUUUGUCGAUGAGAGCUGUGUGCCGCCUGUUGUUGAUCUGCACCUUGAACAGGAAGCCGAACGGGAUCAAAGUUGAAGGACUUGAUCGAUCUCCUUUAUAUGAGUUGUCUACGUGAUCAGGGGAGCCGGCCGGCCGGCCGUACGUGAUCAGGAGAGCCGGACGUACGUGAUCAAGAGUGCCCUGGUUAGGUACGUGACACCAUCCAAAACAAAAAAAACCUACCAAAACAAAAAAAAACCUACCUUUUUUGACUCCCUCUCGUUAUAGGCUUGCAAAAAUUUUGGACUGUCCCGGCCAAAAGUGGGCUCGCCAGGCUCAACCGCACAGGAGUCAACAGAGCUCAAACCGUAACAGGAGCCCGGCAAGCCACUUUAGGCCCAGUAGGCCCAAGAUAGGAGCAGAGAGUUCAGAGUGGUAAUCGUGACAAGGAGUUCGACCUGCCAUGCUCGCUUGAGCUUUUAAGUGCAGUAUCGCCUCCUAGACUCACCGAGGUGGUACUAAAAAGGGGAGGCAUUCACCAGUCGCGAAAUGAGGUUUGCAAAACUCUUAACGGGCUGGCCCAAGGAGGUGGUAUAAGCCCACAUAGCCUGCCGUGCCGUUCCCCUUCCCCACCCGUGCCCCC
RNAcentral lists this long non-coding RNA (879 nucleotides) under Sorghum bicolor (sorghum). RNAcentral's name for it is "long non-coding RNA (SBIC_LNC017274)". The record is from RNAcentral. Lineage: Eukaryota; Viridiplantae; Streptophyta; Magnoliopsida; Poales; Poaceae.